AGCAGCAGAACCUCCUUAUAAAAGCCGCGAGCUAGCAUUUUAGCUUUCUUUUCACUAGUUGGUUGUUAGAAGAACCUACGAUGAAGUUAACAAUGUAUAACAGAGUUAAACCUACACUUGUUAUGUUAUAUGCUAUUCGUUCAUUGGAUGGUGUCCCUCCUCGAGCCAGAUAUUAGAUGAUCAUUGGCCUGAUCGCCUUGUCCUGAUCAAAGAUGCUGCGGCAGCACACUAACUAACCAAGGACAUCAUUUGUCUCCAAAAUGAAUGUCCAGUGUCUGAUCUCUGGGGUAAAAAGAGGCGUUUCUGUACUGUAACAACGAGAUGACGUCCAACUAAAGUUGUGGCAGGGAACCAAUGAAUUGUUUGCGACUGACAACUGCAGGAAGUGAAGACUGAUCUACAGUCAUCUGGCAAGGCUUGAGAUGGUUUCAUCGUCCCGAAGAUUGGCCAGUUUCAUUGUUUCAUCAUUCAGGAUUUUAUUUUUUUUUAUGAGCUGUACAUCUGCAAUUGGUUUCAUUGUUGAGGUUCUUAAAAUAAAAGGUGGAAACUAUUUAGUUGUCAAAUUUUUAACAUGGAUAUUUUAAAAAGACUGCUUAAGUAAUGCUUUUAAAUAUGACAAAUAUCUGGAGAUGUCUAAAUAGUAUGUUUUGUGACACGGCCUAAAUCUGGUGGGUAUGGAGGUAUGUCAUAGUUUCAUUUUU
Cyprinodon variegatus (sheepshead minnow) is the source of this 701-nucleotide long non-coding RNA. RefSeq lists it as uncharacterized. The transcript has 4 exons. The record is from RefSeq and is a predicted model, not a curated record. NCBI's taxonomy places the organism in Eukaryota, Metazoa, Chordata, Actinopteri, Cyprinodontiformes, Cyprinodontidae.